UGGGGAAUAUUGGACAAUGGGCGAAAGCCUGAUCCAGCAAUGCCGCGUGAGUGAUGAAGGCCUUAGGGUUGUAAAGCUCUUUUACCCGAGAUGAUAAUGACAGUAUCGGGAGAAUAAGCUCCGGCUAACUCCGUGCCAGCAGCCGCGGUAAUACGGAGGGAGCUAGCGUUGUUCGGAAUUACUGGGCGUAAAGCGCACGUAGGCGGCUUAUUAAGUCAGGGGUGAAAUCCCGGGGCUCAACCCCGGAACUGCCUUUGAAACUGCUAAGCUAGAAUCCUGGAGAGGCGAGUGGAAUUCCGAGUGUAGAGGUGAAAUUCGUAGAUAUUCGGAAGAACACCAGUGGCGAAGGCGACUCGCUGGACAGGUAUUGACGCUGAGGUGCGAAAGCGUGGGGAGCAA
RNAcentral lists this ribosomal RNA (399 nucleotides) under uncultured bacterium. Its description in RNAcentral is "bacterial SSU rRNA". It matches the Rfam family "Bacterial small subunit ribosomal RNA", at positions 355 to 771 of the family's 1533-position model. The record is from RNAcentral.